RNAcentral lists this ribosomal RNA (253 nucleotides) under uncultured bacterium. Its description in RNAcentral is "partial 16S ribosomal RNA". It matches the Rfam family "Bacterial small subunit ribosomal RNA", at positions 524 to 776 of the family's 1533-position model. The record is from RNAcentral.
UACGGGGGGGGCAAGCGUUGUUCGGAAUUACUGGGCGUAAAGGGCUCGUAGGCGGCCAACUAAGUCGGAUGUGAAAUCCCCAGGCUUAACCUGGGAACUGCAUCCGAUACUGGAUGGCUUGAAUUCGGGAGAGGGAUGCAGAAUUCCAGGUGUAGCGGUGAAAUGCGUAGAUAUCAGGAGGAACACCGGUGGCGAAGGCGGCUAUCUGGACAGAGUCUGACGCUGAGGCGCGAAAGCUAGGGGAGCAAACAGG